Molecule: transfer RNA, 73 nt
Filed under: Ignavibacterium sp.
Lineage: Bacteria; Pseudomonadati; Ignavibacteriota; Ignavibacteria; Ignavibacteriales; Ignavibacteriaceae
Rfam family: tRNA
About the family: Transfer RNA (tRNA) molecules are approximately 80 nucleotides in length. Their secondary structure includes four short double-helical elements and three loops (D, anti-codon, and T loops). Further hydrogen bonds mediate the characteristic L-shaped molecular structure. tRNAs have two regions of fundamental functional importance: the anti-codon, which is responsible for specific mRNA codon recognition, and the 3' end, to which the tRNAs corresponding amino acid is attached (by aminoacyl-tRNA synthetases). tRNAs cope with the degeneracy of the genetic code in two manners: having more than one tRNA (with a specific anti-codon) for a particular amino acid; and 'wobble' base-pairing, i.e. permitting non-standard base-pairing at the 3rd anti-codon position.
Source: Rfam by way of RNAcentral
GCGGGGGUAACUCAGUUGGUAGAGUAUUAGCUUCCCAAGCUGAGAGUCGCGGGUUCGAGUCCCGUCUCUCGCU